This 740-nucleotide ribosomal RNA is filed under the name Peribacillus frigoritolerans. RNAcentral describes it as "bacterial SSU rRNA". It matches the Rfam family "Bacterial small subunit ribosomal RNA", at positions 61 to 784 of the family's 1533-position model. The record is from RNAcentral. Lineage: Bacteria; Bacillati; Bacillota; Bacilli; Caryophanales; Bacillaceae.
GUCGAGCGAAUCGACGGGAGCUUGCUCCCUGAGAUUAGCGGCGGACGGGUGAGUAACACGUGGGCAACCUGCCUAUAAGACUGGGAUAACUUCGGGAAACCGGAGCUAAUACCGGAUACGUUCUUUUCUCGCAUGAGAGAAGAUGGAAAGACGGUUUACGCUGUCACUUAUAGAUGGGCCCGCGGCGCAUUAGCUAGUUGGUGAGGUAAUGGCUCACCAAGGCGACGAUGCGUAGCCGACCUGAGAGGGUGAUCGGCCACACUGGGACUGAGACACGGCCCAGACUCCUACGGGAGGCAGCAGUAGGGAAUCUUCCGCAAUGGACGAAAGUCUGACGGAGCAACGCCGCGUGAACGAAGAAGGCCUUCGGGUCGUAAAGUUCUGUUGUUAGGGAAGAACAAGUACCAGAGUAACUGCUGGUACCUUGACGGUACCUAACCAGAAAGCCACGGCUAACUACGUGCCAGCAGCCGCGGUAAUACGUAGGUGGCAAGCGUUGUCCGGAAUUAUUGGGCGUAAAGCGCGCGCAGGUGGUUCCUUAAGUCUGAUGUGAAAGCCCACGGCUCAACCGUGGAGGGUCAUUGGAAACUGGGGAACUUGAGUGCAGAAGAGGAAAGUGGAAUUCCAAGUGUAGCGGUGAAAUGCGUAGAGAUUUGGAGGAACACCAGUGGCGAAGGCGACUUUCUGGUCUGUAACUGACACUGAGGCGCGAAAGCGUGGGGAGCAAACAGGAUUAGAUA